Long non-coding RNA from Dermochelys coriacea (leatherback sea turtle), 528 nucleotides. RefSeq lists it as uncharacterized. The transcript has 3 exons. The record is from RefSeq and is a predicted model, not a curated record. NCBI's taxonomy places the organism in Eukaryota, Metazoa, Chordata, Testudines, Dermochelyidae.
AUGAAUAUGCAUUAGGCAUAGUGGCAUCAGCAUAACAUAUAAAAGUUGUAGCCCAGCCUGUGUGCAGGGGGGGAGAGACAUAUGUAAUUGUCCACUUGCACCCAUCAGUUUGAAUUCUGGAAAAAGGAAAUAAAACUAGCCAACAAGAAAUUUUUUCAUCUCUUUUGCCUCUCACAGGGCCAGAGCUAUGACGCAGAAGCAGAGAUCACCUGGGUUAGCCCUGAAAGACAUUCAGAGCUGACAGAUUCCUACAACGCUGUCACCUUGCGAAAUCACAGACUGCAACGCAUUUGUUUAAAUUCACUCCUGCCCCCACCCUGCCACUGAACAAGUUGACUAUUCAAGAGAGAGAUUUACCUUGCCUUAAACACUCAGGAAUGGAUUGUCCAGCCUAGUUAUAUGAAGAUCUCGCCUUCUGAGAAGAAAGUCAGUGUUACAGGCAGAGCAUCACUAUUUCAGAGGAGGGCCAUGCGGCCUGAAAGCCAGACCAAGAAAUAUGCUCACUGUUGCUAUGAGCUGAUGGACUAA